This 273-nucleotide long non-coding RNA is filed under the name Linum usitatissimum (flax). RNAcentral describes it as "long non-coding RNA (LUSI_LNC006362)". Lineage: Eukaryota; Viridiplantae; Streptophyta; Magnoliopsida; Malpighiales; Linaceae. The record is from RNAcentral.
CUUGCUUUCACUCGCUUAUGCUUUUCAUCUUCUUUUUUUUGUUUUCGUUCAUUUUUCACAUUUUUGGCUUUUUUUUAUGUUGCUGCUUUUUCCAAAUGGGGAUGGUCACAACCUUGACCAAACUCGGAGCUAACCAGUCUCCAACCCAUGCCCUAAGUCUCAUGAAUGUAGGGAAGAAGGUAGACUUCGAGGGUCGCCACACGUGUAUAGGUUCUAACCAAAUCCCACGCCUUAGAACCUCCUUGAAUUCUAUUAGCUUCUUCAAGGAUUGGA